This 253-nucleotide ribosomal RNA is filed under the name uncultured bacterium. Its description in RNAcentral is "partial 16S ribosomal RNA". It matches the Rfam family "Bacterial small subunit ribosomal RNA", at positions 524 to 776 of the family's 1533-position model. The record is from RNAcentral.
UACGAAGGGGGCUAGCGUUGUUCGGAAUCACUGGGCGUAAAGGGCGCGUAGGCGGCCGAUCAAGUCGGGGGUGAAAGCCUGUGGCUCAACCACAGAAUUGCCUUCGAUACUGUUUGGCUUGAGACCGGAAGAGGUUAGUGGAACUGCGAGUGUAGAGGUGAAAUUCGUAGAUAUCGAGAGGAACACCGGUGGCGAAGGCGGCCUUCUGGACAGUGACUGACGCUGAGACGCGAAAGCGUGGGGAGCAAACAGG